AUGGAGAGAGACAUAUGGAUGUGCAGAUUCAUGCAACGCGUCGCAUCGCAUGGUAGCGUAUGGAAAUGGCUGCCAAUUCUGUGCGACGCGUGGCAAGGAAAUUGCGCCGCAGGAGGAAUAGACGACCGUAAUCCAGCUGCUAGGCUGUGCAUUCCUAGUUUCCUACACGUGCCUCUGCACAAAUCGAUGCUCAUGUUACCUACUGUACUACUACCUAUCUGCUCGUGCCGAUGUUACUACUACAGCAGUGGUGUCGAUGUCGAUCUUGCCACUACUAUAGUAGCUACAGAAGCAGGCUACGAAGGCUCGUUGUGA
This 315-nucleotide ribosomal RNA is filed under the name Triticum aestivum (bread wheat). Its description in RNAcentral is "partial small subunit ribosomal RNA". The record is from RNAcentral. Lineage: Eukaryota; Viridiplantae; Streptophyta; Magnoliopsida; Poales; Poaceae.